UGGCGAACGGGUGAGUAACACGUAGGUAACCUGCCCAUGUGCCCGGGAUAACUUCUGGAAACGACUGCUAAUACCGCAUAAGCCCACGGGUCGGCAUCGACCAGAGGGAAAAGGAGCAAUCCGCUUUGAGAUGGUCUCGCGUCCGAUUAGCUAGUUGGUGAGGUAAUGGCCCACCAAGGCGACGAUCGGUAGCCGGACUGAGAGGUUGAACGGCCACAUUGGGACUGAGACACGGCCCAGACUCCUACGGGAGGCAGCUG
This 260-nucleotide ribosomal RNA is filed under the name uncultured bacterium. RNAcentral's name for it is "partial 16S ribosomal RNA". It matches the Rfam family "Bacterial small subunit ribosomal RNA", at positions 96 to 354 of the family's 1533-position model. The record is from RNAcentral.